RNAcentral lists this ribosomal RNA (1682 nucleotides) under Escherichia fergusonii. RNAcentral's name for it is "partial 23S ribosomal RNA". It matches the Rfam family "Bacterial large subunit ribosomal RNA", at positions 1262 to 2925 of the family's 2925-position model. Lineage: Bacteria; Pseudomonadati; Pseudomonadota; Gammaproteobacteria; Enterobacterales; Enterobacteriaceae. The record is from RNAcentral.
UGUGAGGCAUGCUGGAGGUAUCAGAAGUGCGAAUGCUGACAUAAGUAACGAUAAAGCGGGUGAAAAGCCCGCUCGCCGGAAGACCAAGGGUUCCUGUCCAACGUUAAUCGGGGCAGGGUGAGUCGACCCCUAAGGCGAGGCCGAAAGGCGUAGUCGAUGGGAAACAGGUUAAUAUUCCUGUACUUGGUGUUACUGCGAAGGGGGGACGGAGAAGGCUAUGUUGGCCGGGCGACGGUUGUCCCGGUUUAAGCGUGUAGGCUGGUUUUCCAGGCAAAUCCGGAAAUCAAGGCUGAGGCGUGAUGACGAGGCACUACGGUGCUGAAGCGACAAAUGCCCUGCUUCCAGGAAAAGCCUCUAAGCAUCAGGUAACAUCAAAUCGUACCCCAAACCGACACAGGUGGUCAGGUAGAGAAUACCAAGGCGCUUGAGAGAACUCGGGUGAAGGAACUAGGCAAAAUGGUGCCGUAACUUCGGGAGAAGGCACGCUGAUAUGUAGGUGAAGCGACUUGCUCGUGGAGCUGAAAUCAGUCGAAGAUACCAGCUGGCUGCAACUGUUUAUUAAAAACACAGCACUGUGCAAACACGAAAGUGGACGUAUACGGUGUGACGCCUGCCCGGUGCCGGAAGGUUAAUUGAUGGGGUUAGCGCAAGCGAAGCUCUUGAUCGAAGCCCCGGUAAACGGCGGCCGUAACUAUAACGGUCCUAAGGUAGCGAAAUUCCUUGUCGGGUAAGUUCCGACCUGCACGAAUGGCGUAAUGAUGGCCAGGCUGUCUCCACCCGAGACUCAGUGAAAUUGAACUCGCUGUGAAGAUGCAGUGUACCCGCGGCAAGACGGAAAGACCCCGUGAACCUUUACUAUAGCUUGACACUGAACAUUGAGCCUUGAUGUGUAGGAUAGGUGGGAGGCUUUGAAGUGUGGACGCCAGUCUGCAUGGAGCCGGCCUUGAAAUACCACCCUUUAAUGUUUGAUGUUCUAACGUAGGCCCCUUAUCGGGGUUGCGGACAGUGUCUGGUGGGUAGUUUGACUGGGGCGGUCUCCUCCUAAAGAGUAACGGAGGAGCACGAAGGUUGGCUAAUCCUGGUCGGACAUCAGGAGGUUAGUGCAAUGGCAUAAGCCAGCUUGACUGCGAGCGUGACGGCGCGAGCAGGUGCGAAAGCAGGUCAUAGUGAUCCGGUGGUUCUGAAUGGAAGGGCCAUCGCUCAACGGAUAAAAGGUACUCCGGGGAUAACAGGCUGAUACCGCCCAAGAGUUCAUAUCGACGGCAGUGUUUGGCACCUCGAUGUCGGCUCAUCACAUCCUGGGGCUGAAGUAGGUCCCCAGGGUAUGGCUGUUCGCCAUUUAAAGUGGUACGCGAGCUGGGUUUAGAACGUCGUGAGACAGUUCGGUCCCUAUCUGCCGUGGGCGCUGGAGAACUGAGGGGGGCUGCUCCUAGUACGAGAGGACCGGAGUGGACGCAUCACUGGUGUUCGGGUUGUCAUGCCAAUGGCACUGCCCGGUAGCUAAAUGCGGAAGAGAUAAGUGCUGAAAGCAUCUAAGCACGAAACUUGCCCCGAGAUGAGUUCUCCCUGACCCUUUAAGGGUCCUGAAGGAACGUUGAAGACGACGACGUUGAUAGGCCGGGUGUGUAAGCGCAGCGAUGCGUUGAGCUAACCGGUACUAAUGAACCGUGAGGCUUAACCUU